CAUGUAAAAUGUAGUAGAUAACAAAGCAAGACGGUAGUUAAUUGAAAAAUCAACUGAAUAUCAGUCGUGUUUGUGUACAAUCUGACGUGUUUGAGUAAUUGGAUAUCAAUAAAAAUAACCUGUUCAACACAUAGCUUUAUUUAUCUAGAUACAGAAAACUUUUGCGUGAUGUGUGCGCUACGAUUGUUCCUUCUAAAAAGUUGUAUAUUUGGAGUGUACAUUUUAGUCACAGAGGCAAGUGUUUUGCUGCAAACAUUUGAUGGAAAUACGAGUUAUUUUAAAGGGUCUUCAGUAGAACUCGUGUGCACAAUUAUUCCCUAUAAUAAUGAGAUGACUUGGUAUGUGGACAAUAAACCAUACGCAGGGUGUUUUUUGGGCACAUGCGGACCUUCUCCAAACAAACCAUAUACAUUUAUAUUCACCUUCAAUGAAAGUGCAAGGGAAUUCAAGUUCACUAUAGAUUCAGUGAAUUUAUCUCACGCUUCUCUUUCAUUUGCUUGCGACGAUGGAUUUGUGAGAGAAACUAUUUCUAUCAAUGUGACAAUAGGUAAUUUUAAUAAUGCAUACCAUGUGCCACGACCAUAGAUAUAUCAUUAUCGUUUGAUCGAAAAUAAAUAAAACAUGAUUAUCUGUUUA
Molecule: long non-coding RNA, 636 nt
Organism: Ruditapes philippinarum (Manila clam)
Lineage: Eukaryota; Metazoa; Mollusca; Bivalvia; Venerida; Veneridae
Exons: 3
Source: RefSeq, a predicted model, not a curated record